CAUCAAAUUAACAUAACAGCAUGGGUGUGAAAUAAUAAUUCAAAUUCUAUUCAUUUAUCACCAACCUCAGUUGGUUGUACACUAUAUACUUCAACAUGAGCAGCAAGUCCGCAACUCCCUCCUGGAGAAAACCAGAAAGCGCCUGCCAAGUACGUCAUACUCACUGAUAAUUACUGCGAUGGGAAGUUAUUACGUCAGCCCAUAAGUGAUCUUGGGUUAUUGGAGAAUCACAAUCAAACAGUUUUAUAUUCAAUUGGCCACCUAGUUCCGGUAUUUUGAGCUGAAGUAUUGUGAACACCUGACAAAAAUGUAUCAUUACAAGGAAUGAGAAAUUGUCACAAUAAAAAAA
RNAcentral lists this unclassified non-coding RNA (349 nucleotides) under Athalia rosae (coleseed sawfly). Its description in RNAcentral is "misc RNA ENSAEAG00005003644.1". Lineage: Eukaryota; Metazoa; Arthropoda; Insecta; Hymenoptera; Athaliidae. The record is from RNAcentral.